Molecule: long non-coding RNA, 520 nt
Organism: Nomascus leucogenys (northern white-cheeked gibbon)
Lineage: Eukaryota; Metazoa; Chordata; Mammalia; Primates; Hylobatidae
Exons: 3
Source: RefSeq, a predicted model, not a curated record
GUGAAGACCCAGCCAUGCCUAGAGUAAAUUAAGCCAGCAGCAAAUUAUCCCAAAGGAGAUAAACAGCUAAAAGAAAGUAACUAAAACAGGUUUUAUUUAUAAAUGUCUCACUGUUGGAACCUGCAUGAAUGAAAGCUGAAUCUCAAAGAUCAGACACGUUGGACUUGGAAUAAUGUCCACGUUAUGAUUCCAAUCUGUGCUUAAAUCUGAACCACUCAGUUCUUCAUGCUUGUUGGAAUCUUCCUAAAAUUGGAAUUUCCUGGGAGAUAUCCAGUACUUUUUGGGCUGUAAACAGCAAAACAAACAGCCUUUCUUGUAAUAUGCUAUGUCUAGUGCUAACUGAAUUCAAGAAGUUUAUGGGUGUGGGGAAAGUAACUUGAUUUCUUUGCAAACUUACAAAUUUGCUUCAGUUUAAAUUUUGACCAAAAAUUCAUCUCAGGAAUAUGUUUUGGAAUAAUCCUUUGCUAUUAGUUAUAAAUGUGGCAAAUAUUGUUUAAACAAUAUUAUUUUAUACAACAAA